Molecule: transfer RNA, 88 nt
Filed under: Oligoflexia bacterium
Lineage: Bacteria; Pseudomonadati; Bdellovibrionota; Oligoflexia
Description: tRNA-Ser
Rfam family: tRNA
About the family: Transfer RNA (tRNA) molecules are approximately 80 nucleotides in length.
Source: RNAcentral
GGAAAGGUGGCAGAGUGGUCUAAUGCACCGGUUUUGAAAACCGGCGAUGGGCAACCAUCCGAGAGUUCGAAUCUCUCCCUUUCCGCCA